Long non-coding RNA from Macrobrachium nipponense, 3731 nucleotides. RefSeq lists it as uncharacterized. The record is from RefSeq and is a predicted model, not a curated record. The transcript has 5 exons. NCBI's taxonomy places the organism in Eukaryota, Metazoa, Arthropoda, Malacostraca, Decapoda, Palaemonidae.
CGACGAGGACGGUUGUGGUCCGGUCACUUUGGGGCUGCUCGAAAAUCGGGAUUAAUUUUUUCUUGACGUGACGUGCUUCUUAUCUAACCGUCUGUUAGCGACAUACUAUGUCCUCACAUUGCAUACUAAGAAACAAUUGUGGAAGUUGCGUUUGGAUCGUCAGUAACUGCUAGUGAUAUUGUGGUAAAUUUUUGUUGCAGAAAUUCAACUUUGAACUGGAAUUGUUUCCUUGGUCCCACAAACUGCCGGACAAGUGAAGGUUUAAACGCUGAGGUGCUAAUCUGGUUUUCAGAUACUGCAGGGGUUAGUACAUCUCCGGAGAUGAUUACAGAUGUCUUGCUUCAUCCAACUGUAAAUUCAUGCAAGGCUCUGGUGACGAACUUCAACAUUCAGGUUUUGAUAAAGUUCUGUCCUGAAGUUCGGCUGUCAAGGAUGAUAUAGAUAUCUAAAUAUAAAAGAAGCAGUCUGGGAGUGUCGGCCAGAUGAACAGCGCUUUACCUAAGUUAAAACAAUGGGAAAAGUUCCUUUUUGAAAUUGAUACAAAAAUACAUGGUUGUGGUAGUGUAACAGAAAACUGAAUUAUUCUCAAGGCUGAAGAUUCUUGCCCGAAAUGAUAAAUAUUUCUUCCAGCAACAUUCCGACAGGCGUGUUUCAACUUUGUGUUGUAAACCAACGUGCCUCUCGACUGACUUUUGAAGGAAAGUUUUCUGCCAUGUCAGUGAUUUCUGUGGAUUUUAAAAUGCGAGCAUGACUCCAAUGUGGUAGCCUACACACGAACAUGGUUUCCCAUGUUCAGUUAUUAUAUCAUUACCCACAUUUGCCUUGCUGACUUGAAUAUCCAUUAUAUGAAAACCCUGGUUCUUAUGUUCAUUUGUUCUCCAACAACACCACCACCACCUCCACCACCUCUCUCUCUCUCUCUCUCUCUCUCUCUCUCUCUCUCUCUCUCUCUCUCUCUCUCUCUCUCUCUCCAAUUUAAUUAGGUUUUGAGUUUGUCUUAAGGAGGCUUAGAAGAAUACGUUUUGGGUAAGACUAUUUCAGUAUGAUUCAAGACUAAAAUUUUCACUCGAUGCCAAGAACUUUGCAAAUAUAUGUAUAUAUUUUUAAGUUUUAGGACCUCUUACUUUUAGGGAAACCAUCUUUUAUGCUAAAAAAAACCCGUUGACUGACUAUGUCCUUCAGUUAUCUUGCGUAAGUGGUCAUGGUAUUUAUGUUGACUUAUUACCGAACUUUCAACUUGACAAGACAUUGUUCAUUGCAGCAUGCGGGUCGGUCAAAUUAUUGGUGUCAAUUGUGCAAGUGACCAUUGGGGGAUUUGUUUUCUUGGAAAUGAUCGGUUUUCAUGGGCCAAAUUUUGUGCCUUUUAAAUUUUUAGGGUCUUUGGAGCUCUUGAAAUUAUAGAGGGCAAUAAAUAAGUUUCUGACCCUGACUUUUUGUUACAAAGUGUUUGGAAACGCGUUAAAUGUUUGUAGUCUUCACUUUGGUUCAAUAAUAACGAAAGCACAGUAAAGCAGAUGCUUGCUCUCGUGCAUCAUUGGUUUUGGUCGUUCAGGCAAUUCUACCGUAGGUGUUCAGUUAAUAGUUGAAUGAAUAAAACCCUCUGGAGUUUAUUGAAUAAUUAAUCUGUUGUUUAAAGUAGUUGUACGACUACAGUACAGGCAGUUUGGGCAUUCACCUUAAAAAGUCUACCUUUCAUGAUUUUUCUCCAAAUUGUUACCUUUUACUUAGAUUUCUCGAUAUUAUCCAAGUGGUUUCUUGCCAGUCUUUUUAAACUCUUGACUAUAUAUUUCAUGGACCGUGCUAUUUUCUGAUGAGAGUGGUCUUAUUUUAGUUCUGUCAUGCAAAUUUUGUUGCAAGGACUUUUACAGUUACUUUGCUCAGAUACCCUUACCCGUGGUCUGGUUUUCUCACUUUUUGACGAAAGAUUUUGCUGUUUGCUUUCUGGCUCUGCUUUUGCAUGCGAUUUUUUUUCAGUUUUUAUUUUUCAUGUUUUACCAUGCAAAGCGCAGUCCAAGGAUGCAAGAGAUGAGUUUGAAGUUGGAAAGUUAUCGUAUCGAGUUCAAGAGUUAGCAGGAAUGUUUUUGGCCAGUGAAGUUACUCUGCGGCCAUAUAGUCUAAAAAUUGUUUUUGUUGUGCCCAAGCAGAUGUAUUCUUUACUUUUUCUUGGUGCAUUCAUAUUUUUAAAUUAAUUCAUCACUAUUCAGUACUGUUUUCCAGAUGUGAAAAUUGGGCCGCUGGUGUGAACAAACUGAAGUGACAAUGGUAGUUUCAUGCUUGACCGGAUGUAAAGUUUUAGAGAAGGCAUGUUGAUUUUAAUAUUUUCAUAUAGUGGUGUGCGUCUUACUACAGUGAGACUUAUUGAUAGUGUACGGAAAGCUUUGAUAUAGGCCCCUUGUGUUUGCAAUGUUCUGUUCCAACUACAGAUUAAAAAAUGGAAACUUUGAAGACAGAGCAAAGAAAUUUUUAAUUCUCAAAGACAGUAAAACCGAAGUAAACGAUAUAGUACAACCUAAGUAAACGGUGGCGGGGCUUCGUGUAUUUAAUUAAUAAGUUAGGAGCAUGUAUGGAAAACUUUCUGACAAAUUUUUACUCUGGUUUCGAACUUUGUUUCUUUUCUUAGGUUCUGCGAUGAGUUACCAAAUCAUGAAGAAGUGGAUUGGUGACUGGGAGCAUUUGUCUCCACCUGCAGAUUAUAUUCGAUGGUCUCAACUGAAGUGGAUUAGUAGCUCUUGAGCACUUGUCUUCGACUUGAAGAUAUUGCAAUCUCGUACAACAUAACCAGGUAGUGUACUACCAUAAUCAGCCGACGAAGUGUUAGACUUCAAGUGCUACAGGGCAGAAAGAUGCAAGAAGUAAACAGAUGUCAUUUAUCCAUUGGUGCGGAUUUGCAAGUAGUUCUCCUUAGGCUCUGCAAAUUGUUCUCGCCUUCGAGUACUUAUGUUUGAACCAGCACAGACAUCAAACCAGCACAAGCAUCAAAGAAGAACUGACAGCCGACCCAGUUAAUGUACAAAUAGGUGUGGAUCUGUACCUUAGACGUUGUACCUUAGAGUAAUUGAAUUUGAACCGGUUUGUAUCAAAGAGGAACUGACAUCUCAACGCAGUUGCAUUGGUGUGGAUCUGCAAGUUGUUCACCAUUAAGUACUUUGAACAUGCACAAGCUUCAAAGAAGAACUCAUUGGUGUGGAUUUGCGAGUUCUCCUUAGUGUUCUUUGGCGUGAACCUGCUCAAGCUUCAAAGAACAACAAACACGAAACAGUUGAAUUAUUGUGAUCUGCAAGUUUUCUCUCCGAACUGACCGUCGACUCAGUUGAAUAGGUAUGGAUCUACACGUUGUACCUAGAGUAAUUUGGAUUGAACCUGCACACGCACCAAGAACAACUGGUAACUCGGCGCAGUUGCAUUGGUGUGGAUCUUCAAGUUUUUCUGAAAGUUCUUUGGUUUGAACCUGCACAAGCAUCAAAGAGGAACUGACAACUCAACCAUGUUGAAUUGUGGUGGCUGAUGCUACUAAAAACAGUGUGAUGAGCAUAUAUUCCCUCUUCUUAAAGAUCAUGUCUUGCUCUCGGACUUGUAUGUACACUGUACACAAAUUAUACAGUAUUAUGUCACUAUCUGCUCUUGAUUGGAAGAUUAACUAAACAUCUUACUCAAAAACCAUGGAUCUAAUGAAAAAUUUAGUCGUUCCGAAGAAAGAGUGUCAAUAAAUUAUAUUUUAACUUUUUUAAAAA